This 231-nucleotide ribosomal RNA is filed under the name Clostridioides difficile. Its description in RNAcentral is "partial 23S ribosomal RNA". It matches the Rfam family "Bacterial large subunit ribosomal RNA", at positions 1632 to 1874 of the family's 2925-position model. Lineage: Bacteria; Bacillati; Bacillota; Clostridia; Peptostreptococcales; Peptostreptococcaceae. The record is from RNAcentral.
UUAAAGGUACCCGUACCGCAAACCGACACAGGUGGGUGAGGAGAGUAUCCUAAGGCCAGCGAGAGAACUGUUGUUAAGGAACUCGGCAAAAUGACCCCGUAACUUAGGGAUAAGGGGUGCCACCAUCCGGUGGCCGCAGAGAAUAGGCUCAAGCGACUGUUUACCAAAAACAUAGGUUUCUGCUAAGUCGCAAGACGAUGUAUAGGAGCUGACGCCUGCCCGGUGCUGGAA